RNAcentral lists this ribosomal RNA (460 nucleotides) under uncultured bacterium. RNAcentral describes it as "partial 16S ribosomal RNA". It matches the Rfam family "Bacterial small subunit ribosomal RNA", at positions 338 to 795 of the family's 1533-position model. The record is from RNAcentral.
CCUACGGGGGGCAGCAGUGAGGAAUAUUGGUCAAUGGACGAGAGUCUGAACCAGCCAAGUAGCGUGAAGGAUGACUGCCCUAUGGGUUGUAAACUUCUUUUAUAAAGGACUAAAACGAGGCACGUGUGCCUUUUUGCAUGUACUUUAUGAAUAAGGAUCGGCUAACUCCGUGCCAGCAGCCGCGGUAAUACGGAGGAUCCGAGCGUUAUCCGGAUUUAUUGGGUUUAAAGGGAGCGUAGAUGGGUUGUUAAGUCAGUUGUGAAAGUUUGCGGCUUAACCGUAAAAUUGCAAUGGAUACUGGCAGUCUUGAGUACAGUUGAGGUAGGCGGAAUUCGUGGUGUAGCGGUGAAAUGCUUAGAUAUCACGAAGAACCCCGAUUGCGAAGGCAGCUUACUAAACUGUGACUGACAUUGAUGCUCGAAAGUGUGGGUAGCAAACAGGAUUAGAUACCCGAGUAGUC